GAUAAACCCCGAGCGGGAUUCUAUAACACAGUGGUGCCGUGACGAACUGCGAGCUCAAUGGAGGCGGAAUGGUGAGCCCGAACGUGGCGGCGCCGGUGAGGUUCCCUUCGCGCUUUGAUCUAAGUUAUACUAACGCUCCCUCGUUUACACCCAAAAGAGCCACGACAAUGGCUUCAGGGGAGCAAAAAGCACCACCCCAAACCCAAAGGUUGCAAAUUUAUCCCAAUACAAAUUCUGGGGUCUCUCCUUUCUGGAGAGAGAAGUAUGAAAGAGAAGCCAAGAGGUAUUGGGAUGUUUUCUACAAGCUCCACAAGGACAGAUUUUUUAAAGAUCGGCACUACUUGGAUAAGGAAUGGGGCGAAUACUUUUCUGGGGGAGGAAGAAAAGUGUUUUUGGAGGUUGGCUGUGGAGCUGGAAAUACUAUCUUUCCUGUCAUAGCAUCAAAUCCAGAUGCUUUUGUUUAUGCGUGUGAUUUCUCACCAUGAGCUAUUGAGUUGGUUAAGUCACAUGAAGACUUCAAGGAAUCCCAUGUUAGUGCUUUUGUCUCGGAUUUGACAGCUGAUGAUCUGUGCAAUGAGAUUCUUCCAUCUUCAGUUGAUAUUGUUACAAUGAUAUUUAUGUUGUCUACAGUGUCCCCAGAAAAGAUGCCUCUAGUUUUGCAAAAUAUUAGAAAAGUUAUCAAGCCAAAUGGAUAUGUGUUGUUCCGAGACUAUGCUACUGGAGACCUUGCUCAGGAAAGGUUCUCUGGCAAGGAUCAAAAGAUUAGUGAUAACUUUUAUGUUAGAGGUGAUGGCACUCGUGCUUACUAUUUUUCAAAUGAGUUCUUGAAAAAUUUAUUCAAAGAAAAUGGUUUUGAUGUUGACAAACUUCGUGUAUACUGCAAACAAGUUGAGAAUCGCUCAAGGGAGUUGAUAAUGAAUCGGCGUUGGGUCCAAGCUGUAUUUCGCGUAUCAGAUAGUUCCAACUCUUCUUCAUGCAUAGAAGCUGAGGCCAAUCAUCUUGACAAUGAUAAUGCCAAUAUGGAAAUCAAGCAAAAUAGUUUGAAUGGUGGUUUAAAUGAUUCUGCAGUUGACUUGUCUGAGGGUGUGGCAGUUGACAUGUUUGGAGUCUUACCUUCCAACGAAUAUGAGAUUAUUGAGAUCAACCUUAGAAGCUGGAAUUUCAAGAUUAGUUUACUUUCAAAAGAGUACCAGCAUACCUGCAAGUCAACAGGUUUGAUGCUGUGGGAAUCAGCUCGGUUGAUGGCUUCUGUCCUUGCAGAAAAUCCCAACAUUGUUGCUGGAAAAAGGGUCUUGGAGUUGGGGUGCGGCAGCGGGGGAAUCUGCUCCAUGAUUGCUGUUAGAGAUGCUGAUCUAGUAGUUGCAACUGAUGGAGAUGGCUUUGCACUUGAUCUCCUGACCAAAAAUGUUGCAUCCAACAUUGAGCCAUCAUUACUGACUAAACUCACCACAAAAAAACUGGAGUGGGGAAACAAGGAACACAUUGAAUGCAUAAAGGAAGUAGUGAGCAAUAGAGGGUUUGAUGUCAUCAUUGGCACAGACAUGACAUAUAUUCCUGAUGCUAUAUUGCCAUUGUUUGCAACUGCUAAAGAACUGAUUGCUCCCAGAGGAAGCAAGGAAGAUGAUAAUGUCCCCAGACUUAUUCUUUGCCACAUCUUUCGCCGAGUAGAUGAACCAACCUUACUUUCGGCCGCAGUGCAUUUCGGGUUUAGAUUAGUAGACAAGUGGCCUGCUGGUACUUCAAGUAAUUUGUCUCAAAGCAUUAUUGACAAUUGGUUUGUUGACAAUGAUUUAAAGGAUGAUCUUCCUAGUACAGCAUUAAACAUCUUGCUCUUCUGCAAGGAGUGAUAUUGAGUUUAGUAUUCUAGCUUGAUUUCAAGUUGGUUUCUUGAUUCUUCUCUUCAUUACAAUUAAAUGUGGGAAGUAGAAUGUAAUUUCCUUGUUGAUUCAUUUUAAGUACUUGAAAAUCCGUUUGGGCUCAUAUUUUUGUAAGUUUUGAUGGAGAGAGUUCUAUUUUAUUUUAUUUUUUUUUAUAAAUGUUAUUGCUUUGCUCCCCCACUUGGGGGCCUUAGAGAUGGACACAUGGUAGUUAUGCACCCUGGCAUCAUUUGCUUGGAAAUGCAAAAGGACCACUUUCUGUGUUUUUGUUUAGUAA
RNA transcript from Glycine soja, 2154 nucleotides. RefSeq lists it as uncharacterized. The transcript has 12 exons. The record is from RefSeq and is a predicted model, not a curated record. NCBI's taxonomy places the organism in Eukaryota, Viridiplantae, Streptophyta, Magnoliopsida, Fabales, Fabaceae.